Molecule: long non-coding RNA, 288 nt
Organism: Etheostoma spectabile (orangethroat darter)
Lineage: Eukaryota; Metazoa; Chordata; Actinopteri; Perciformes; Percidae
Exons: 3
Source: RefSeq, a predicted model, not a curated record
CGUCUUUGACAUUUCUCUAAGUGUGCACACGGCCCGGCAACCCCAUGCCAUUGUAUGGGAAUUAAUGGGACAUUUACCUAUGCUAAUUAAAUGCAAUGGGCACAAGCUUUACAUUUACGAAGACAUUGGGAUUCGUCAUUUUAAGAACACACCUGUGAACAAUUCUGCGGUUUAAGAACACGUCAUGAAUCAGAUGUAGACUUUUCUUAGGAACUUUCUUAAAAACAAAUUUAAGAAAAAACUUAGGAAGAUAUUGGUGAAUGAGACCCAAUGAGUUUUAAGACCAUU